This 79-nucleotide transfer RNA is filed under the name Caudoviricetes sp. RNAcentral's name for it is "tRNA-OTHER". Lineage: Duplodnaviria; Heunggongvirae; Uroviricota; Caudoviricetes. The record is from RNAcentral.
UGCCGUGUAGUUCAGCAACGGUAGAACACGGAGCGCUGUAUAGCCUCCGAGGUCGGUGGUGCGAGGCCACCCACGGCAG